AUCUAUAUAUAUAUAAUAUACAUAUAUACACAAAUACAGUAUUUUCUAUUUUUUAUAGUAACUGGCAUGUCUUUCCACUUCAUGUGCUCAGCCGCCGCAUGUGGUGAGUGACAGAGACCACCCUGCAUGUGUGUGCGCUAUUUUACUGCCUUUUUCUUGACCACAGAUUCUACCUCCUGUUUCUCUGUGUAUGCAGUGAUGAUUUGCUGAAUAUUACACAUUGUGGGUAACUUGUUGAGCACACUCAGGAUCCCUAACCUUCCUCUGAAGCUUUGCAGCUCCUGUUCUAGCAGCUAGCACAGGCACUGCUGGGUCAUCGUGACAUGGGCAGGCUUGGUUGGAUUCGCUGUUGGUGUGAAUCUGUGGAGAGCUCCAAUCCUGCACCCACUCCAAUCUCCCCCUCCUGGACCUGGUAGGAUGGCCAUGCUCCGCCCACACCUGAGCUCUCGGUGCCACGAUCUGCAGGUGUACUCCAGAGGACAAGUGUACUGUGGGUGCGUCUCAUUCAUUCUCCUGCCCUUGCCCUCAGGUUCUGGCUGGCACAGCUGUGGUCACAGACUAAAAACAGCCACCUCAUUCGUUUUAUGCAGCUUUACAGUUGUUUAUGGCAGAUGUGUGACUUCGGUCCCUGUUCCCUCAUCAUGGCUAGAACAAGUUUUGGCAAAUUAUUCCUAUAUCUUUACAUGUGAAAACUAAAGGAAAGUUUCACCCAUAGAAUAUUAGUGUUGCCACAAUCCUAAUGAGUGUUUCUCCAGAAACUACAAGCCAGGUCAGCAGCCAGUCAUUUCAUAGAAGAUAAACUUCAAGAACAUUCUCUGAAGGGCAAUGAAACUGAGUAAGAUCUAACCACUGUUACCAGCAACCAAGAAAACUAGACAAUUAAGUUAUUCAUCAUGCAUGACCCAGUAACAUUUCUCAGCGGUUGGAUUCAAUACGAGAAAUAAGCAAAUAACCGCAAUGCUUCUUCCAUUUCAAAGUCAUUUCUCUUAUAAAAAGUGGUCAAGAAAAAUGCCUGUUGCCUUACAUACUGGCAGAAACCCGACUACUGGGCUAGUGGUCAAUUCUGAGGCACCCAGCAUGUUCAGGAGGCAGCGUCGGGGAGCAUGUCCCUUACCUGGAGGGGUGUAGGCGUCCAUGGAGGUCUGCACGACCAGGGACCUGCGUUUGGAAGGCAUAGGCACCGCCAUCUUCUGCUCUUUGUGUCUGGAGCCGCCUGGACAGCUUCCGUGUGGACGUCUGAAACGGAGAGAGCUCAGUCAGUGCUCAGCUGAGGUCCCAGAGGCCAAGCUGCACCCUCCUCUCUGUCCCCGCAGCACGGUUCAUCCACCUUCUGAAACUCACCAACAGAUGGGUGGGUGAGGAAAGAAAAUCAGUGGUUACAGUUCCAGUAAAGACAUUAAAAUUUAUUCACAGACUUUU
Molecule: non-coding RNA, 1419 nt
Organism: Macaca mulatta (Rhesus monkey)
Lineage: Eukaryota; Metazoa; Chordata; Mammalia; Primates; Cercopithecidae
Source: RefSeq, a predicted model, not a curated record